CCUACGGGUGGCAGCAGUGAGGAAUAUUUGUCAAUGGGCGCGAGCCUGAUCCAGCCAAGUAGCGUGAAGGAUGACUGCCCUACGGGUUGUAAACUUCUUUUAUAAAGGAAUAAAGUGAGGCACGUGUGCCUUUUUGUAUGUACUUUAUGAAUAAGGAUCGGCUAACUCCGUGCCAGCAGCCGCGGUAAUACGGAGGAGCCGAGCGUUGUCCGGAUUGAUUGGGUGUAAAGGGCGCGUAGAUGGUUUGUUAAGUCAGUUGUGAAAGUUUGCGGCUCAACCGUAAAAUUGCAAUUGAUACUGGCAGCCUUGAGUACAGUUGAGGUAGGCGGAAUUCGUGGUGUAGCGGUGAAAUGCUUAGAUAUCACGAAGAACUCCGAUUGCGAAGGCAGCUUACUAAACUGCCACUGACAUUGAUGCUCGAAAGUGUGGGUAGCAAACAGGAUUAGAUACCCCAGUAGUC
This 460-nucleotide ribosomal RNA is filed under the name uncultured bacterium. RNAcentral's name for it is "partial 16S ribosomal RNA". It matches the Rfam family "Bacterial small subunit ribosomal RNA", at positions 338 to 795 of the family's 1533-position model. The record is from RNAcentral.